GUGUGUGUAUUUAUUCCGAACAUUAGAAAGUAUAAGAAAAAAACACACAUGUAGUAACUAUGUGUUACACACACAUGUAUUAAUAUUACAGGAAAGAGCAAAAGGUCAGUUCCUUGCGGCCGUUUCUGUCAAGAGGCAAUGAGAUCCUCCAUGCAUUUGGGUAUGAAUAAUUGUGUACACUACCAGCAGUAUAUUGGAUAGGCACUAUCCCUUAAUUGGUUUCACAACCUCUAACUCACGCAGAAAUAUAAACACACACACAAACACACAAAGGAGGUGCUGCAAAGGUUUUGGCUUUAAGUGUAUAGACAAAGGCGUAGUUGCAGGCUCAACCUUCCAAAUUCUUCUGUAAGGCUUAGAAAAACUGAAGGACCCCUGCAAUAAGUGUGUGAAUCUGAGAGGGGAAUAUGUUGAAUAAAAUCAUAAUUGACUGAUCCUCUUAUAUUUUCUUUCAC
Long non-coding RNA from Octopus sinensis (East Asian common octopus), 455 nucleotides. RefSeq lists it as uncharacterized. Lineage: Eukaryota; Metazoa; Mollusca; Cephalopoda; Octopoda; Octopodidae. The transcript is spliced from 3 exons. The record is from RefSeq and is a predicted model, not a curated record.